UAAAUCUUUUUUGCUAAAUUUAUAACUUUUUUAACAAAUGAUCUUUAUGCUUAUUGAACAAGAAGUAUAAGCAUGAUCUAUAAAUUGAUAUCACUCCGGUGUAUCACAUGCAUGUUUCAUCAAAGGUCAUGUUUUGCUCAUUUUGAGACCUACAACAUAUGUAUGAGUAAAUUAAAUAAACGGAACGAGAGAACUCCUACUAAGCGAAACAUAACUUUAGGUGUACCAUACCAUGCACAAGUUAUAAUCCAGUACAAUGAAUAUAUUGAUAAGUUGAUGAGAUAAAGUUUAUAUAUUUUCUACUCAUCAAUUGACCAAUUAAGUAUGAACUACAACAUUAACAUGAUGUAGUUCCCUACAUAACCAUACAAAACUAUUGUAUUAAACCUUUUUUGUCUGUUUGAUUGCUCAAGAACAAAGCAUGAAAUAAUAAAAGCAAGUUAAAUAAUGAAAGAUAAGUAGAGAAUAUUUUCAGAAGGCAUGCGCAAAAAACAAGAAUUGGAAUUUUUUUUUGUGAUUUUUAUUUGAGUGCAAAUUAAGCAUGAUAAACCCUAAAAGUAAUCUUUGCUCCCUCUUGACAUCAUUCCACUCACCUUCUUCAGUCUUCUCAUCCCGAGGUAAAACCCUACACUCUUAUAUAUCAUCUUCUCUUCUUGCUCUUUCUUCUCACCUCUUAUCUCUCAUUUCAACUACCAUAAUAUAUAUCAUUUACUUGCUUUAAUUUCUAUAUAAUCUCUAUCUUUUUAUCCCUAAUAUAUAUAUACGUUUCUUAAUUACAUGAAAUUAUUGCUUAUUAUAUUAUAUACCAUAGUGUAUAUCUUCUGUAAAAAGUGCAGCAAAAUCUAUCUAUCUAUAUAUAUAUACACAUAAAUGGUAUCUUUUUUUUGUGUUCUACACUAGAAUAGUAGCAUAUAUAAAGUCUUAUCACAUUUUAUGUCAUAUAUACCAAAUUUGAUCAAGCAAAAUCUAUUUUAUGUAUAUGGUAACUUGUACUAUAGCUAGGUGAUUUUGUCUGUUUUUUUUUUCUGGUAUGAUUGGGAAUAUUUAGCUAAUAACAUGUAGAAUUUCCUAUAAGAAUAUUAGUGUGUUUGAUUUGAUCACCUUUUAAUGAUGAUAUAUUGAUAGUUGAAUAUUCUGUUGAUUUGGCGCGCAUGUUGGUGUCCCUUUUUGUUGAUUUGAUCUGCUUACCUACUCUGUUUCUCCUACUCCACCAAACUUUUAUACUAAAGAAGCUCCAUAUUUUGAUGCCAUCAUGUUUUUCCAUUAGUGAUUCCCUUAAACAAGCCACAUCCUUCCAACCCAAUUCACCACAUGAUCCAAAUUUAAUGUUCUUUUCGCCUUAUAAAUAUAAGUUUAAUCAAUUCAGGGUUGAUCAUCACUUCCAAUCACAAUAAAGUGAAAUUAGGGUUGAUCAGGUCCGAUUAGACCUAAAAGGUUCAAUUCAGAUGAGUUCAGGUGAAGAGCAUGCGCCAUUAAGAGGAAACAAAUUUGGGAAUAGUUCACAAGAGUUGUCUAGCAAUAUCUAAAUGCAAAACAUGCAAUAAUAUGAGGCUUAGACUAUGCCCAAUUGCUAGUUAUUUUGUUUAAAAGUGGUGUAUGGGACCAUUUAGCUUCUUUUUACUUCCCUUUCCAAACCCUCUAACCUUUAUUUUUCUCAAUUAUUAAGUCAGCUUGUAGUAGUUUGAACUCAUUAUUACAUGAGAAUGUAUAGGUUUGAAUGGAACAUCAUGAUUAUUUGAACUGAAGUUUGGGGAGAAUAUGUUUGACUGGUUGAUAGGUUGGGAAGGCAAAGGGAAAGCGAUAUUGGUGAGGUUCAAUCCGAAGACGGAUCUUACUGAAGUAGAGUUUUAAGAUACGAUCUCAGAUUGAGCCGCGCCAAUAUCACUUUCUUUUUCCACCUUUCGGCUUUAGUUUGUUCUCCCUCGAACUCUUCAUUUUACUACAAGUACCUGUUUCAGAUUUUCGACACUUUGACAUUUUCAGAUGAGCCAAUAUCAUGAAAAAAUUUCAUAAUUCGUUGAAUUGAACACUCGGACACAUACCCAUAUUCAACACAACUACUCGUGUUGAAGUAACAUAGGUAUAUUUUAUUCAUACCUUUUUUUGUUAAACUUAUAAUAACUUUCCUGCAUGAUCUGAUUUGUUAAAAGUAUUGCAUACCCGUUAUUCACUUUCUGAAAUAGUAAUUUUUUCACUUUCCAAAGAUGGAAAUCUUAUCUGUAAUUUUUGUCUGUUUGAAACGUGAAAGUGAAACAUCUUUGUUUCUUCAUGAAAGUUAAUUUGUCUAAAAGGUUUUCUGCUAUGGUGCCUUCACUCUACCUUUGUUCUUGGAAAACCUGGCGUGGCAUACUCAUACUGAUCAUACAAGCAUACUGAGGAAAUAUUAACUGUUUUGAAGAUAAAUUAUUGAGAAGUGGGCUUGCAUAAAUUACAUAAAGAGCCUCUGUAAUUCAAGGUUUCAAGAGAGUACGUUGGUGAAGUGAUACUCGUCAAAUAGCAUGGAGGAGGAAUAUUUUCAAUUUUGGUAGUUUAAGUUUUAAUUUAGUUGGAGCUCCAAGAUUGGUUUUUAUAUUCUAUCAACUUUAGCGACUUAUGUUCAUGCCUAAGAGAGAUUCAUACAAAUACUUUGAAAGUACAUCAGAGUAAAAUCUUUUUGUAUUACAUGGGCGAUGAACUGGUUCAGGUAGAAUAAGGCUGGACCGACAAAAAGCUCAAUGGCUUGUAUUAGAAAUUUAGACCCAUUUUCAUUUCUUGUCUUAAGAUUUAUUUGGAAACAUGUUCAUGCAUUUUGA
Beta vulgaris subsp. vulgaris (sugar beet) is the source of this 2792-nucleotide long non-coding RNA. RefSeq lists it as uncharacterized. The record is from RefSeq and is a predicted model, not a curated record. NCBI's taxonomy places the organism in Eukaryota, Viridiplantae, Streptophyta, Magnoliopsida, Caryophyllales, Amaranthaceae. The transcript is spliced from 2 exons.